GAGUUUGAUCCUGGCUCAAACGAACGCUGGCGGCAGGCCUAACACAUGCAAGUCGAACGAUCCUUCGGGAUAGUGGCGCACGGGUGAGUAACACGUGGGGAUCUGCCCUUGGGUACGGAAUAACAUCGGGAAACUGGUGCUAAUACCGUAUAAUGACUCCGGUCCAAAGAUUUAUCGCCCAAGGAUGAACCCGCGCCUGAUUAGCUAGUUGGUGAGGUAAAAGCUCACCAAGGCGACGAUCAGUAGCUGGUCUGAGAGGAUGAUCAGCCACACUGGAACUGAGACACGGUCCAGACUCCUACGGGAGGCAGCAGUGGGGAAUAUUGGACAAUGGGCGCAAGCCUGAUCCAGCCAUGCCGCGUGCGUGAAGAAGGCCUUCGGGUUGUAAAGCGCUUUCAACGGUGAAGAUGAUGACGGUAACCGUAGAAGAAGCUCCGGCUAACUUCGUGCCAGCAGCCGCGGUAAUACGAAGGGAGCGAGCGUUGUUCGGAAUUACUGGGCGUAAAGGGCGUGUAGGCGGACGGUCAAGUUGGGGGUGAAAGCCCGGGGCUCAACCUCGGAAUUGCCUCCAAAACUGAUCGUCUUGAGUCCGGGAGAGGCAUGUGGAAUACCCAGUGGAGAGGUGAAAUUCGUAGAGAUUGGGUAGAACA
Molecule: ribosomal RNA, 650 nt
Filed under: uncultured Sphingomonadaceae bacterium
Lineage: Bacteria; Pseudomonadati; Pseudomonadota; Alphaproteobacteria; Sphingomonadales; Sphingomonadaceae
Description: bacterial SSU rRNA
Rfam family: Bacterial small subunit ribosomal RNA
Source: RNAcentral